RNAcentral lists this long non-coding RNA (3210 nucleotides) under Olea europaea (common olive). RNAcentral's name for it is "long non-coding RNA (OEUR_LNC006634)". Lineage: Eukaryota; Viridiplantae; Streptophyta; Magnoliopsida; Lamiales; Oleaceae. The record is from RNAcentral.
AGGUGAUUUCCUUAUUGUACUGCAUUUUUUAUCCCCAAGUAUUUGCCUUCUCAUGUAGCUAGAAAAUUCAUUCCGCAUAUUUCUUGCUUCAUCUCUAAUGGGUUCCGAUUUAAUAUUUCCUAAACAUCUGACAUGUAGUAAGACUCAAAAUGGUAUUAUCUAGGGGAUCCUUGCAGUAGUAAUUUUAGAAUCAUAUGUCAAAAUUAUGUAAGUAACUUUUGGAAUGUGUUGAACGCUGUAAUAUUAGCACGUUUUUGGGCAGUAAACGUAAUCUGAAGCCAUGGGUUCAAUUAUUUAAAAUCAUUUUCGUAGCUAUACUGAAAACAAUAAUAAAAAUUCUAUGAUGAACACAGCAUAAACUUUCAUAGGUUCGGUCUGUUGCUUUAUUAUGGUUAGGGUGCGGAAAUCAAGUUGGUUUUGAGUGUGUUCUCAAAUUUGUUCAUGGAUGUUAGAUUUCCUAAUAAAUUGAAGACAGACCACAAACUACAUUCGCAUGACAUUAUUUUAUGCAGUGUGGACAAGGAAAUAGAGAAGACCUGCUGAGACCAACUUGUGUGACUUCUCUAUCGGGGACUCAGAUUGAAACAGUUGCAGCUGGGUUGUGGCAUACUAUAUGCAUCUGCAAAGAUGGUUGUGUCUAUGCUUUUGGUGGAAAUCAGUUUGGGCAAUUGGGUUUGGGAACAAAUUCUGAUCAAUGUGAGGUAUAUUCUCUGCUUAUUGUCUGAUGUACUGGAUCUGAACCUGAUACAAAUGCACUGUCUGUUCUUUUCUAUAGACUUCAUCAGAAACCAUGAGUAUGAUGUACUACUCAUUUUAGCAGUAGUGCUCUGCAACAAGGAUUAGCAGGUCCCAAACUACUCAAAGUAAUCCACUCUUACAUCAGUUGCAGCUUCAACAGCCUUCUAAAAUGUUGGUUUCUAGAAAUUGAAUCCCUUCUUUUUAAGUCUUGUUGAGUCCUCUAGUGAAUCCUCCAUUGCUUAAGAAAAAGUGAAGAAUAGUAGCUUUGGUAUAGUGCUUACUGCUUAGAAAUUUGAUGCUGAUGAUAGUCAAAAGAAACGGUUAUCUUGACUUGAAAACUUAAUAGCUUGAUGACUCCAUUAUUUCAGGUAAAGGUGAAGUGUACACAUGGGGUUGGAAGGAGUGUGUUCCACCUGGAAAAGUUACUUGUAGUUGGACAAGUAUGAAAACCUUUGAAAGGAACAGGUCUGCAAAACAAAGUUCUACACUGACUGAGCAAGGUAUCUUAGAAAGAGUAUAUCUUAUGAGGCCUACCUUCGGCUAGAAGUGUGCAUACAAAUAUAUCGGGUACUGGACGCUAACACCUGAUAUUGUUUGUAAUAGGGAGCCCACAGUCUCAAGGUCCAAAACCUUCUGUCGGAUCACUUUCUUGUUCAGAUGAUAAAAACAUUGAAGAUGAAAGUAUAAAGAGAAGAAAGGUAUCAACUCAAGAAGAAUCUGAAAUAUCAAUCCCUGCUGAAGAAACACUUUCAGCGCCACCUUGUCUUGUAAUGCUGGAUCCCCUGGUGAAAAUUACAUCUGUUGCUGCUGGUGGGCGACAUACGUUGGCAUUGUCAGGUAAAUCAACUCCUUCCUGUGUGCUGCAGUGCACCAAAUUAACAUUUUAGGCUAGGUGCUACUUCUUUGUGGUUACAAAUUAUAGUUUUGUAGGUCAUAUGAAGUAUGAAGCUAUGAAGAUCUUUAAUGUAAAGCAAGAGGUCUUAAAUGUAAAGCAAGAUACCUGAUUCAUCAUAUUUUUACCGGAUUUAGAUGUAGGACAGGUAUGGGGUUGGGGCUAUGGAGGUGACGGGCAGCUAGGUUUGGGCAACCGGGUAAAAACAGUGGCUUCUCCUCAUCUCAUUCCGUGUAUUGAUCCAUCUUCAUGCAUAAAAGACAAACCUGAUGUGGUUCAUCAAGAAAGUGAGAGUGCAGCAGCUCAGUCUCAUAAUUCUGUAGGGAAUUACAUAAGGGCCGUUGCUUGUGGAGGCAGGCACAGUGCAGUAAUAACAGGUGAGUCAUGAAGAAUUGUUAUGUGGUAAUAUUGCUUUGUAGCAAUUUUAGCCCAUUUCUUUUGUAAGGUCUUUCUUUUUUUGGUUAUCAGAUGCUGGUGUGCUGAUUGCUUUUGGCUGGGGUUUAUAUGGACAGGUGAUUUCCUUAUUGUACUGCAUUUUUUAUCCCCAAGUAUUUGCCUUCUCAUGUAGCUAGAAAAUUCAUUCCGCAUAUUUCUUGCUUCAUCUCUAAUGGGUUCCGAUUUAAUAUUUCCUAAACAUCUGACAUGUAGUAAGACUCAAAAUGGUAUUAUCUAGGGGAUCCUUGCAGUAGUAAUUUUAGAAUCAUAUGUCAAAAUUAUGUAAGUAACUUUUGGAAUGUGUUGAACGCUGUAAUAUUAGCACGUUUUUGGGCAGUAAACGUAAUCUGAAGCCAUGGGUUCAAUUAUUUAAAAUCAUUUUCGUAGCUAUACUGAAAACAAUAAUAAAAAUUCUAUGAUGAACACAGCAUAAACUUUCAUAGGUUCGGUCUGUUGCUUUAUUAUGGUUAGGGUGCGGAAAUCAAGUUGGUUUUGAGUGUGUUCUCAAAUUUGUCCAUGGAUGUUAGAUUUCCUAAUAAAUUGAAGACAGACCACAAACUACAUUCGCAUGACAUUAUUUUAUGCAGUGUGGACAAGGAAAUAGAGAAGACCUGCUGAGACCAACUUGUGUGACUUCUCUAUCGGGGACUCAGAUUGAAACAGUUGCAGCUGGGUUGUGGCAUACUAUAUGCAUCUGCAAAGAUGGUUGUGUCUAUGCUUUUGGUGGAAAUCAGUUUGGGCAAUUGGGUUUGGGAACAAAUUCUGAUCAAUGUGAGGUAUAUUCUCUGCUUAUUGUCUGAUGUACUGGAUCUGAACCUGAUACAAAUGCACUGUCUGUUCUUUUCUAUAGACUUCAUCAGAAACCAUGAGUAUGAUGUACUACUCAUUUUAGCAGUAGUGCUCUGCAACAAGGAUUAGCAGGUCCCAAACUACUCAAAGUAAUCCACUCUUACAUCAGUUGCAGCUUCAACAGCCUUCUAAAAUGUUGGUUUCUAGAAAUUGAAUCCCUUCUUGAAAUCAGAUUACACUUUGCAGUAUUUAUCAAAAUUGUUGCGUUAUUUGGUUGAUAGUCUCUGCUUUAUUCUAAAGAAGUUACGUACUUUAAAGAUAGUGAUUAAAAAGUGUACUUUGGUACUCGACAGCUU